This 490-nucleotide ribosomal RNA is filed under the name uncultured bacterium. Its description in RNAcentral is "partial 16S ribosomal RNA". It matches the Rfam family "Bacterial small subunit ribosomal RNA", at positions 30 to 507 of the family's 1533-position model. The record is from RNAcentral.
AUUGAACGCUGGCGGCAGGCCUAACACAUGCCAGUCGAACGGUAACAGGGAUCAGCUUGCUGAUUCGCUGACGAGUGGCGGACGGGUGAGUAAUGUCUGGGAAACUGCCUGAUGGAGGGGGAUAACUACUGGAAACGGUAGCUAAUACCGCAUAACGUCGCAAGACCAAAGAGGGGGACCUUCGGGCCUCUUGCCAUCGGAUGUGCCCAGAUGGGAUUAGCUAGUAGGUGGGGUAACGGCUCACCUAGGCGACGAUCCCUAGCUGGUCUGAGAGGAUGACCAGCCACACUGGAACUGAGACACGGUCCAGACUCCUACGGGAGGCAGCAGUGGGGAAUAUUGCACAAUGGGCGCAAGCCUGAUGCAGCCAUGCCGCGUGUAUGAAGAGGGCCUUCGGGUUGUAAAGUACUUUCAGCGGGGAGGAAGGGAGUAAAGUUAAUACCUCUGCUCAUUGACGUUACCCGCAGAAGAAGCACCGGCUAACUCCGUG